AUAUGAUCCAUUUGAGUGAAUUUUUGCACAAGGUGUAAGGUUUAGAUGAAUAAUUUUUUUCACUGAGGUCCGAUCGUCUCAGCACCAUUUUAUAAAAAGGCUAUUCUUCUUCUGCUGAACUGCUUUUGAAACCUUGGUCAAAACUCAGCUAGUCACAUUGCGUGGGUCUAUUUCUGGGUUCCCCAUUCUGCUCCACCGAUCUAUGUGUCUAUCCCUCUGGUGUUCUAAGCUUUAUUGAUUGCUGUAGAUAUUCAUGAAGUCUUAAAAAUGGGUAGUAUGAUUCCUCCAACUCAAUGCUUCUUUUUCGAUAUUAUUUUAGCCAUUCUAAUUCAUUUGUGUUUCCACAUACAUUUUAAGAGAAGCUUGCCAAUAUAAAUAUAGUAAAAUCUUUUUGGGAUUUUAGUAGGGUUUACAUUGAAUUUACAGAUCAUUUUAUCAAGAACUAACAUCUUUAAUAUACUUGGCCUUCCAAACCAUGAACAUUAUAUGUUUCUCCAUUUAUUUAGGUCUUUGAUUUUUUUGUUAGUAUUCGUACUUUUCAUUAUCCUGAUCCUGCACGUUUUGUAAAAUUUAUACACUGAGCUUCUUGAAUCUGUAAAUUUGUCUUUCACCAAAUUUGAAAAAUCUUUGGCCAUUAUUUCUUUAGAUAUUUCCUGCUCUAACCUCUUCUCCUUUCCUCUGGGACACCAGCGGCAUGAAUAUUAGAACUACUGAUAUUUUCCCACAGUUCUCAGAGGCUCUGUUCAUUCUUUUUUUUCAAUUUUUUUUCUCUCUCUCCUUCGGCUAGAAUUUCUACUUAUCUACUUUCAGAUUCACUGAAUCUUCCCUUUGUCAUCACGAUUCCGCUCUUUGGCCCAAUCUGUGAUUUUUUAACUUUAAGAUAUUAUAAUAUCCAAUUCUAAAAUUUCCUUUUGAUUCUUCUUAUUGUUGUAUAACUCUAUAUGUUUCUGUUUUUCCACUCAUUUCUAGAGUGUUUCUAUUGAUUUCAUAGACCACAGUUCUAAUAGCAGCAUUAAAGCCUUUUUCUGAAAAUUAAAACAUCUGUGUCAUCUUGAGAUCAGUUUUCUGUUGACUGUGUUUCCUUAAGAGUUGAUUAUAUUUUCUAGUUUUUUGUUUAUUGGGUAAUUAGAAUUGUAUCUGAUACGUUUUCGAUAUUAAAAUGAAAGAUUCUGAGAGGUGUUAAAAUCCUAUGGCAAAUGUUUAUUUUAUGUUUUUGCACGCAUUCAAUCUGGCUAAGUUCAGAGUGCAAAUUCUGUAUCAUUUUAGGUGUGUGAUGGCUUGAUCGUUAGUUCAGUUUUCAAAGCCUUUACUGUGCUUCUUCGGGUCCAUCCUGCAAACGCAUCACACGGGUUAGUCAGGGACUUGGCCCAAAGUGGACACUCAAAAUAUCAUUUUCAUUCAUUUUCAAUUUUAAGUGCAGCUUGUUUGAAGUUGAAUCAUAUGGAAAUUUUGGAUUUUGAAGGUUUAUUAAUUGUUAAAAAGCAAGCCAUUUAUAUUUAUCUUAUCUCUGCACUAUCCAGUAUGUUUGUUCAGAAAUUGGAACAUGGCGUUAUUCUGCAAAGUGACAUAUAUUACAGUUCCACAGUGGAUUUUGUGAAAUAGCCAAAGAAUAAGAUUUCCUAUGAACUACCAAAUCCAUUUUUGGCAUUUACUAUUUAUUCUUAUUUUCUAAAUGAUGGCUAAUAAUUCUAAAAUCUAUAUGGAUUACAUUAACUUGAUUUUUCCCAUUUUCCCAUUUUCCCAUAAAAGCAUAUGUAUAUAUCCUUCUGAGAUUCAAAAUCUUCCCUGUGCUUGCGUUCAUUUUUGUCCUCAGUUCCAGUAUACCUAAUGUUAGGUCGAGUAUAAAAUAAAUCUUUAAAAAUUCUACUACUUUCUACAGUGGCUACUAUAGAGGGAAUUAAGUAUGGAAAAUUACCUGUUAAGUGUAGUAGGGAUAGCUCUUUAGUUUUUUACAUGUUGGAAAUUGAGUUCUACAUGUGACACUUUCUGACAUUACAGUGUUGUGCCUUUGUUUUAAAUUCAUACUAUUUUUUAUGUUGUAUAAAUUCUCCUUGUUCAUGGCAUAGUAGUUUUUAAAAUAUUUUCCAUUACAGAUAGAAUGACUUAGAAAGAGUUUUAUAUGUUUCCAUUUUGAAAAUUGAAAAUUCAGGAAACUCAUCAACACUAAAAAGAAAUGAGUUAAACCAUGAAAAGACAUGGAGGAACCUUAAUGCAUGGGCAGGGAACAUAUGGGAAAUCUUUGUACUUUCCUCUCAGUUCUGUUGCUAACCUAAAAUGGCUCUAAAAAAUUAAAGUCUUUGUUAAAAAAAAUAUAAAAGCUCAUCAACAUCACAUGUGAUAAUAAAUGAAAUCAAACUAUAUGUCCUAAAGUUUAAUACUCUUUGCGCAAUAAACAGUUUUUGAAUUUGUAACACAUUAUUAAUAAGCAAGAAUUUAAAAUACUAGCUCUUUCUUGUUUCUAAGAAAACAUAUUCAUAUCAAUAGUGUUGCGCUCCCACUAAGAGUUGGACUUGAGGACAUAACGUACAUAAAAGUAAUUCCAUUCGGGCAUGGCCAUGUUUAUUUGCAUUUCUUUUGCGUUUUCAAACGGGAAAAACAUAAGAGAUUAAAUACAGAUGUGUUUAUUCUGAAUAUAGGUGGAUAGGUAGAUACAUAGAUGAAAAAUUGAUGAUAGAUAGAUGCGUAGGUAGGUAUAGACAGAAAGAUAGAUAGACAGAUA
RNAcentral lists this long non-coding RNA (2719 nucleotides) under Equus caballus (horse). RNAcentral's name for it is "lncRNA (ENSECAG00000058496.1)". The record is from RNAcentral. Lineage: Eukaryota; Metazoa; Chordata; Mammalia; Perissodactyla; Equidae.